AACGCACAUUGCGCCCUCUGGUAUUCCGGGGGGCAUGCCUGUUCGAGCGUCAUUACAACCUCAAGCUCAGCUUGGUAUUGGUGACCCGCCCCACCCGGGGCGUCACUGAAUAAUAGCGGCGUAGCUGCUCGGCUUCUAAGCGUAGUAACAUUGUUUCGCUUUGGGAGUUCCGGGUGGAUUUAUUGCCGGACAACCCUCUAUUUUACAAGGUUGACCUCGGAUCAGGUAGGGAUACCCGCUGAACUUAA
This 248-nucleotide unclassified non-coding RNA is filed under the name uncultured fungus. Its description in RNAcentral is "partial contains 5.8S ribosomal RNA, internal transcribed spacer 2, and large subunit ribosomal RNA". The stretch from base 1 to 52 matches the Rfam family "5.8S ribosomal RNA", at positions 103 to 154 of the family's 154-position model. The record is from RNAcentral. Lineage: Eukaryota; Fungi.